GUGAUAAUCCGAGUUGAAUCUUCCCUAUUGCGUCUGAAUUUGGGCACUGGGUCUUAGAAACAAUAAGCAAGUUACUGUGUUCCUGUCCUUAAGUUUACUCCAUGGUAUCUCUGGGAAUAUGUAUACGUCUGGAAACAUAGGUUUUGAUGUGCUGGUCGCAUGGAGCUCAAGAGUAAGGAGUAAGCAGAGUUUACCUCAGGUUUUCAAGGAACAAUUUUUUGCAUCAAGGUUUACACUACAUGAAAUAGUCAUAAAUGGAGUGUACUGUAGUGACUGUUUAUAAUGUCCACUAUGAUCUGUGAUCCUUUCUAGCUUCCAUCAUUCAGCUGCCAUGGCUCUUGAGUGCUCAGAGUGUGGUAAACAAUUUGCAAAUAAAGAGGCUCUCAAUAAACACAUGUUAAUGCAUACAUGGGAAACACUUAAUAGUUGUGAACAUUGUGGUGAGACCUUUACACAAAAGGUUUCUCUUAAGAAACACAUGAUCGGUCAUGGUGAUAAAAAACCCUUUAAAUGUGAACUAUGUGGGAGUGCUUAUAGUGCGAACAAGAACUUGAAAAGACAUCUGAAAACAUGUGGUAGUACAGGAAGCCUUAGCAAAACAAAAUGCCUUCACCCAUCCUGUGAGAAGA
Molecule: non-coding RNA, 629 nt
Organism: Penaeus vannamei (Pacific white shrimp)
Lineage: Eukaryota; Metazoa; Arthropoda; Malacostraca; Decapoda; Penaeidae
Source: RefSeq, a predicted model, not a curated record